GAUGAACGCUGGCGGCGUGCCUAAUACAUGCAAGUCGAGCGAACAGACGAGGAGCUUGCUCCUCUGACGUUAGCGGCGGACGGGUGAGUAACACGUGGAUAACCUACCUAUAAGACUGGGAUAACUUCGGGAAACCGGAGCUAAUACCGGAUAAUAUAUUGAACCGCAUGGUUCAAUAGUGAAAGACGGUUUUGCUGUCACUUAUAGAUGGAUCCGCGCCGCAUUAGCUAGUUGGUAAGGUAACGGCUUACCAAGGCAACGAUGCGUAGCCGACCUGAGAGGGGGAUCGGCCACACUGGAACUGAGACACGGUCCAGACUCCUACGGGAGGCAGCAGUAGGGAAUCUUCCGGAAUGGGCGAAAGCCUGACGGAGCAACGCCGCGUGAGUGAUGAAGGUCUUCGGAUCGUAAAACUCUGUUAUUAGGGAAGAACAAAUGUGGAAGUAACUAUGCACGUCUUGACGGUACCUAAUCAGAAAGCCACGGCUAACUACGUG
RNAcentral lists this ribosomal RNA (497 nucleotides) under uncultured bacterium. RNAcentral's name for it is "partial 16S ribosomal RNA". It matches the Rfam family "Bacterial small subunit ribosomal RNA", at positions 28 to 507 of the family's 1533-position model. The record is from RNAcentral.